AGGAUGAACGCUGGCGGCGUGCCUAAUACAUGCAAGUCGAGCGCCUUCACUUUGCUCAUCAGCCUUUGUUGGUGAGUGGUGUGAAGGAGCGGCGGACGGCAGAGUAACGCGUAGGAACGUACCCCAAAGUGAGGGAUAAGCACCGGAAACGGUGUCUAAUACCGCAUAAUAUCUUCGGAUUAAAGCUUCGGCGCUUUGGGAGCGGCCUGCGUAUGAUUAGCUUGUUGGUAGGGUAAUGGCCUACCAAGGCGACGAUCAUUAGCUGGUCUGAGAGGAUGACCAGCCUGACUGGGACUGAGACACGGCCCAGACUCCUACGGGAGGCAGCAGUAGGGAAUUUUCCGCAAUGGGCGCAAGCCUGACGGAGCAACGCCGCGUGCAGGAGGAAGGCCUUCGGGUUGUAAACUGUCUUUUAUUUGUGAUGAUUUGACAGUAACAAAUGAAUAAGGACCUGCUAACUACGCGCCAGCAGCCGCGGU
RNAcentral lists this ribosomal RNA (479 nucleotides) under uncultured bacterium. Its description in RNAcentral is "SSU rRNA". It matches the Rfam family "Bacterial small subunit ribosomal RNA", at positions 26 to 521 of the family's 1533-position model. The record is from RNAcentral.